This 429-nucleotide ribosomal RNA is filed under the name Gemmatimonadota bacterium. RNAcentral's name for it is "Gemmatimonadetes bacterium partial 16S ribosomal RNA". It matches the Rfam family "Bacterial small subunit ribosomal RNA", at positions 355 to 776 of the family's 1533-position model. Lineage: Bacteria; Pseudomonadati; Gemmatimonadota. The record is from RNAcentral.
UAGGGAAUCUUCGGCAAUGGACGAAAGUCUGACCGAGCAACGCCGCGUGAGUGAAGAAGGUUUUCGGAUCGUAAAACUCUGUUGUUAGAGAAGAACAAGGACGUUAGUAACUGAACGUCCCCUGACGGUAUCUAACCAGAAAGCCACGGCUAACUACGUGCCAGCAGCCGCGGUAAUACGUAGGUGGCAAGCGUUGUCCGGAUUUAUUGGGCGUAAAGCGAGCGCAGGCGGUUUCUUAAGUCUGAUGUGAAAGCCCCCGGCUCAACCGGAGAGGGUCAUUGGAAACUGGGAGACUUGAGUGCGGAAGAGGAGAGUGGAAUUCCAUGUGUAGCGGUGAAAUGCGUAGAUAUAUGGAGGAACACCAGUGGCGAAGGCGGCUCUCUGGUCUGUAACAGACACUGAGGCUCGAAAGCGUGGGGAGCAAACAGG